UACGUAGGUGGCAAGCGUUGUCCGGAAUUAUUGGGCGUAAAGCGCGCGCAGGCGGUCCUUUAAGUCUGAUGUGAAAGCCCACGGCUCAACCGUGGAGGGUCAUUGGAAACUGGAGGACUUGAGUGCAGAAGAGAAGAGUGGAAUUCCACGUGUAGCGGUGAAAUGCGUAGAGAUGUGGAGGAACACCAGUGGCGAAGGCGACUCUUUGGUCUGCAACUGACGCUGAGGCGCGAAAGCGUGGGGAGCAAACAGG
This 253-nucleotide ribosomal RNA is filed under the name uncultured bacterium. RNAcentral's name for it is "partial 16S ribosomal RNA". It matches the Rfam family "Bacterial small subunit ribosomal RNA", at positions 524 to 776 of the family's 1533-position model. The record is from RNAcentral.